Molecule: ribosomal RNA, 253 nt
Filed under: uncultured Lachnospiraceae bacterium
Lineage: Bacteria; Bacillati; Bacillota; Clostridia; Lachnospirales; Lachnospiraceae
Description: partial 16S ribosomal RNA
Rfam family: Bacterial small subunit ribosomal RNA
Source: RNAcentral
UACGUAGGGGGCAAGCGUUAUCCGGAUUUACUGGGUGUAAAGGGAGCGCAGACGGCUAUGCAAGUCUGAAGUGAAAGCCCGGGGCUCAACCCCGGGACUGCUUUGGAAACUGUGCAGCUAGAGUGUCGGAGAGGUAAGCAGAAUUCCCAGUGUAGCGGUGAAAUGCGUAGAUAUUGGGAAGAAUACCGGUGGCGAAGGCGGCUUACUGGACGAUAACUGACGUUCAGGCUCGAAGGCGUGGGGAGCAAACAGG